Molecule: microRNA precursor, 58 nt
Filed under: Heligmosomoides polygyrus
Lineage: Eukaryota; Metazoa; Nematoda; Chromadorea; Rhabditida; Heligmosomidae
Description: microRNA hpo-mir-750 precursor
Gene: hpo-mir-750
Source: miRBase by way of RNAcentral
AGUGGGAGGUGUUGAUCUUGCAUGCGGUCGCAUUGCCAGAUCUAUUACUUCCUUCUGA